CACGCUGUAAACGAUAAUCACUAGAUGUCAGUCUGGCUUAGCCGGAUUGGUAUCGAAGCUAACGCGUUAAGUGAUUCGCCUGGGGAGUACGGUCGCAAGAUUAAAACUCAAAGAAAUUGACGGGGGUCCGCACAAGCGGUGGAACAUGUGGUUUAAUUCGUCACUACGCGAGGAACCUUACCUGGACUUGACAUGUAUUUGACAGUUGUAGAAACACAAUCUCUUAGGUUUCGAUCUAAGCAGAUACACAGGUGC
This 255-nucleotide ribosomal RNA is filed under the name uncultured bacterium. Its description in RNAcentral is "partial 16S ribosomal RNA". It matches the Rfam family "Bacterial small subunit ribosomal RNA", at positions 796 to 1041 of the family's 1533-position model. The record is from RNAcentral.